AUACGGAGGAUCCGAGCGUUAUCCGGAUUUAUUGGGUUUAAAGGGUGCGCAGGCGGGGGAUUAAGUCGGCGGUGAAAUAUUGCAGCUCAACUGGAAAAGGGCCCUCGAAAAUGGUUUUCUUGAGUGUAGAAGAAGUAGGGGGAAUUUGUGGUGGAGCGGUGAAAUGCAUAGAUAUCACGAGGAACUCCGAUUGCGCAGGCAGCUUACUAAACUACUACUGACGCUCAGGCACGAAGGCGUGGGGAUCAAACAGGAUUAGAUACCCUGGUAGUCCACGCAGUAAACGAUGAUUACUAGCUGUUUGCGAUACAAUGUAAGCGGCUGAGCGAAAGCGUUAAGUAAUCCACCUGGGGAGUACGUUCGCAAGAAUGAAACUCAAAUGAAUUGACGGGG
Molecule: ribosomal RNA, 393 nt
Filed under: uncultured bacterium
Lineage: Bacteria
Description: partial 16S ribosomal RNA
Rfam family: Bacterial small subunit ribosomal RNA
Source: RNAcentral